UUCCGGAAGAAACUUCUGUCAUGAAUCAGAUAAUACUAACCUGCUUAAUAGGAAUGAGGAAUAUAUUUUGGGUUGACCUUGAGCACAUCUUUGUAGGAGAGAUGUCAAACUUCAACGCUAAAAAGACUGUGUUGCCCGUAAUCUCUGUUGGAAGACAAUAUUGAUUUGUUUAUCUUGUGUCCCUUGUGCACUUAUGAUAAUUCCCUUUCACUACCUGGCUGAUUGAGUCUUUCAUUUGCCUCCAAAAUGAUAUAUCAAUCACUGUGAAACGUCUGGGGAUUUUUUUCACUGUUACCCAUCAAUCAUAUGUAGUCCAUUACUUAGAAUUUCUCAUGGCUUAUAUGCUUGUGGUGCUAUGGUAGAAUAGAUGAUGUCCAUUUUUUGUAGAAGAGAUUUUGGAUUUUUUCCAUUUUCCACCAGAUAGAUUUUAUGAUUGGUCAUUAACAAGGGAACUUUAUUCGAUUUUUCUGUGAAAUUUGAUGUCGUAAAAAGAUUCAUAGGUUACAAUCAUCCCUUUUCUUGUUUUCAUUGUUCUUUUGGGUUGAGGCUACUGGUGGGGUCAUAAAAUGCUUCAUGAUGAGUGCAAAGCAGUGGAAUAAGGAGUGUGAAGGUAGGAAAAUUUCUGUGAGUGCUGCAAGAAAUUGUGGAAAUAAAUGUACAAAUAAUAUUGUGCUGAGGACCACUCAAUACUUGUCUGAGAGAAUGGAAUAUGCGGUGAUUCUGUUGAAAAAUAUGGCUAGAUGAUCUUGUUAAUGACAGCUAAGCAGACCACUAUACCUUCUAUUUUCUGUCUGCUCUGUGGUUGUGCAGAUUGUAUUGCCUCUUUUAAACCUACAAUUUUGCCUUCUUUUAUGGUUCAAUCACCAUUCUGUUACAGUACCAUGAUGCCCCCGAUAUGCCAUUUAUCAUUACAUAAUCUUUUCUUUAGUUGUGUCGUGCUGCUAUACUUUCCUCAUUGAUUACUUACAUGUUCAGUUUUAUGCAGCCAAAUUGUUAUUCAAGAGUGAUAAGUAUAAACAGUGAUGAGCAUAUCGUCAUAUUUGCCAAAAGAGAUAUCAAACAGUGGGAGGAAUUGACAUAUGAUUACAGGUUUUUUUCAAUGGAAGAGAAACUUGCUUGUUACUGUGGCUUUCCAAGAUGUAGAGGUGUUGUGAAUGACACUGAAGCCGAGGAACGAGCCACAAGCUUAUAUGCACCUCGUGGUGAAUUGAUAGAUUGGAGAGGGGAAUGAGAAAGGUCAGCUAGUCUGUAACUAAAAAGUAGGACGUGGUGUUUGAAAGAAGAGACUGGUGAAGUCUUGGCGGAAAAGCAACAAAAAACUAUGAGCACUAGAUUUAUUUUAUGCAAGAUUCAUUUUCUUUAAUUCAAGAACCUUUGAAAUUUUUCAUUAGUGGAGUUUUGACUGAACGAUGAGUAUGAAGUUGUAAUGUCAUGGAUAUGAUAUGGUUUUGGGUAAUAAUUUGGUUAGGUUUUGAUUUUUGUAUUGUUCUA
Molecule: long non-coding RNA, 1491 nt
Organism: Olea europaea var. sylvestris
Lineage: Eukaryota; Viridiplantae; Streptophyta; Magnoliopsida; Lamiales; Oleaceae
Exons: 3
Source: RefSeq, a predicted model, not a curated record